This 305-nucleotide ribosomal RNA is filed under the name uncultured bacterium. RNAcentral describes it as "bacterial SSU rRNA". It matches the Rfam family "Bacterial small subunit ribosomal RNA", at positions 333 to 654 of the family's 1533-position model. The record is from RNAcentral.
UGGUUCCUACGGGGCGCAGCAGUGGGGAAUAUUGCACAAUGGGGGAAACCCUGAUGCAGCAACGCCGCGUGAGUGAAGAAGUAUUUCGGUAUGUAAAGCUCUAUCAGCAGGGAAGAAGAAAGACGGUACCUGACUAAGAAGCUCCGGCUAACUAUGUGCCAGCAGCCGCGGUAAUACAUAGGGAGCAAGCGUUAUCCGGAAUUAUUGGGUGUAAAGGGUGCGUAGACGGGAAAUUAAGUUAGUUGUGAAAUCCCUUGGCUUAACUGAGGAACUGCAACUAAAACUGAUUUUCUUGAGUACUGGAG